UUCGCUCGCAUAAUAACUGUAGCCUUAAUUUCAAAAUUAUACUCAAAGCUGGAUUAACACACUCCAAAUCUUUUGAGGAUCUUUGCCAAGAGAGGUGGAGCUCAGGGACAAAAGAUAAGGAAACUUCUCCUGACACUUACACAGUGUGUCUGCAUUAAUGUUAGGAGGGAGUGUGUCCACAAAGCCCUGUUUGUCUACCUAAAUGAGGAUCCUGACAAUCUAAUCAAGGAGUACAUGGAUGCAGAUUUUUUCCAAUGCUCAAGCUGCACUCAAAGAAAAGGUGAUUAGCGUUUUUGUCAUCAGAUGUGAAGGAUGUGAAGUUAAUGAUAACCCUGCA
This is a long non-coding RNA of Silurus meridionalis, 337 nucleotides long. RefSeq lists it as uncharacterized. The record is from RefSeq and is a predicted model, not a curated record. NCBI's taxonomy places the organism in Eukaryota, Metazoa, Chordata, Actinopteri, Siluriformes, Siluridae. The transcript is spliced from 3 exons.